GCAAGUCGAACGGUAACAGGCAAGAGCUUGCUUUUGCGCUGACGAGUGGCGGANGGGNGAGUAACGCGUGGGAAUCUACCUAAUAGCGGGGGACAACCCGGGGAAACUCGGGCUAAUACCGCAUACGCCCUUAGGGGGAAAGGCUUCGGCCACUAUUAGAUGAGCCCGCGUCCGAUUAGCUUGUUGGUGAGGUAACGGCUCACCAAGGCUGCGAUCGGUAGCUGGUCUGAGAGGACGAUCAGCCACACUGGGACUGAGACACGGCCCAGACUCCUACGGGAGGCAGCAGUGGGGAAUAUUGGACAAUGGGCGAAAGCCUGAUCCAGCAAUGCCGCGUGUGUGAAGAAGGCCUGCGGGUUGUAAAGCACUUUCGAUAGGGAAGAUUAUGACGGUACCUAUAGAAGAAGCACCGGCUAACUCCGUGCCAGCAGCCGCGGUAAUACGGAGGGUGCNAGCGUUAAUCGGAAUUACUGG
Molecule: ribosomal RNA, 474 nt
Filed under: uncultured Pseudomonadota bacterium
Lineage: Bacteria; Pseudomonadati; Pseudomonadota
Description: bacterial SSU rRNA
Rfam family: Bacterial small subunit ribosomal RNA
Source: RNAcentral